RNAcentral lists this non-coding RNA (3323 nucleotides) under Pongo abelii (Sumatran orangutan). The record is from RNAcentral. Lineage: Eukaryota; Metazoa; Chordata; Mammalia; Primates; Hominidae.
AAUUUGGGAACGAGAUGCCCGGGGAUGCAACCAGCCCCGCGCUCGGAGGCGGCGGCCGGAGUUCCGUGCGCAGAGGGCACACAAAAGCCUCGAGGAUCAUUGCCUCGACCCCAUCCCCCACCGCGCGGCGACGCCCCCUACGGGCUGGGACACCCCCACCCUCGGACUGCUGCCGGGUUUUCCUCCGGCUGCGACCCUGGAGGAUUUGAUGGAAAUGCUACAAGAGAAGCAGGCUCUCCUCUUCUGAAAUGAUAAGUGAUAAUGACCAUACAGGUCAACUUUUCCACCAGUUGGAGGGAGCCUGUCAAAGAACAAAGGCAACAGAGAAGAGAGCAGAGCUGAGGUUGGGUGAGAGGGAGAAAUUCCUGAGUGCUUGAAUCCCACAUGCCGGAAGCCGCACCACACUUGGGCUUCUCAAUACAGGAGCCACUGAGAAACCAAGUCAUGCUGAAGACCUGGAAAUCCCAGCAGGCUGCAAACCAGCUGCAACCACAAUGGGUCAGCCCUUUUGAGAUGCUGCUGACUACCCACUCAUCUGCCAAGUUAGCCAGUGUUAAGCCAUGGAUUCACCACGCUCAGAUAAAACCUGUCCCUCUGGGAUCCCUCCAGAAAAAAACAGGCAUGCUCUUGUGAACCCUAAGAUGGCCUUAAGUUAAUAUUCAAUGCCCAGCCAAAGACCCUAAAUAAGAAGUCAUAAAGGGAACAUGUGUUUCCAGGUUGGUAUUAUUCUCCCCAAAACCCUUCUUGCAUGCAGGAUGUAAUGAAUCAGAAAUACUUUUUAGUAAUUUUUUUUUUUUUUUUUUUGAGACAGAGUCUCACUCUGUCACCCAGGCUGGAGUGCAGUGGUGCAAUCUCGGCUCACUGAAACCUCCACCUCUCAGGUUCAAGCAAUUCUCAUGCUUCAGCCUCCCGAGUAGCUAGGACUGCAGGUGUGCACCACCACGCCCAGCUAAUUUUUGUAUUUUUAGUAGAUACAGGGUUUCACCACGUUGCUCAGGCUGGUCUUGAACUCCUGACCUCAAGUGAGCCACAUCUGCCUCGGCCUCCCAGAGUGCUAGGAUUGCAGGUGUGAGCCACCACACCCAGCCAUGAAUCAGAAAUAAUUUUUAAUAGGCUUAGGAUUGUUCUCUUGGCUUCCUUAAGGGAUCCACUUUAAUUCUUGGGUAUUUUUUUUUUAAUCGUGGUGCUCCAACAAGCGGGAUGCCAAUCAGGUACUCCUGAGUGCUUCAGAUUCAGGGGUGAUGUUUGCAUUUCCCAUCAUUAUCCCACAAUGCACCCCUUAGCAUUAAGUAGCCAAAAAGGCAGAUAACCAUAUUCCCCAUGAUUGAAAAAUUGAUGAAUAGAAAAAAGGGAUUAAGACCAGCCCAAUUGUCCAAUAGAAAUGAUAUUGCAGUUUUUAAAAGAAACAUAAAAAUUAACCCUUCCUGUUUUUAAAUUUUAAAACUUACAUUUAUCUCAUCUGAAUUCCUUCCUCAAAAAACAGACAGUCAGGCAAAAACAAAAACCUAAAACUCAUCAGAUCACUGUAUCCAGACAGAGAUGCCAGACCCCUCAUCCAUCAUGAUUGCUUCCAUACUCCUCCUUAAUUCCUAUUUUCCCACCUUUCCUGCUGUACAAAACCUCCAAUUUUAGUCGGUCAGAAAAACACAUUUGAGACUUUAUCUCCUGUUCUCCUUGGCUGCAACACCCCGUUAAAGCUUUUUUCCCUAGCAAUAGUUACUGUCUCAGUGAUUGGCAUUCUGUAUAACAAGCAGCAGAACCUAGACUGGACCCCUGGUGUUUCAGUAACAUUACCUUGUAGUAAAUGCCGCUGUGUCAUGCCCAGAUUCCCUUUACCAAGCCCAGAUCCCACAGGUUAAAGGGCUCAGCUCCACAAGACUUCAGACACCAGCCACAAAUGGGGUCCCCAGGUGACCCACACUUCUGCCCAGUGGACUAUAAAUUCAGGGGUUCUGUGACUUUUCCCACCCAGCUUUGAUAAUUCACUAGAAUCAUCACAGAACUCAGGAAAAUGCCAUACCUACUAUUACACUUUGUUAUGAUGGACACACACGAGCAGCCAGAUGGAGGGGUACUGAGGAAGGGUCUGAAUGCAGGAGGCUUUGUCCCUGGGGAGUUGGGAUGAGCCACUUUCCUGGAUGUGUUCACCAACUCAGAAGCUCUCCAAGCCCCAUUGUGUAGGGAUUUUUUAUGGCAGUUUCAGUAAGUACACAUGAUUGAUUAAAUCCUUGGCCAUUGGUGAUUGAACUCAAUCUCUAGCCCUUCUCCUGCUCUCAGAGGUGGGAGAGCAAGGCUGGAAGUUCUAACCUUCUCAGUACAUGGUUGGUUUUUCCUGUGUCCAGGCCCUAUCCUAAAGCUACCUAGGCCCCCUCUCCCCAACAAGAGUCAUCUCAUUAGCAAAAGAGUAAUUUCCAAGGGUGUUAGGAGCUCUAUGCUGGGAACCAGGGAACAAGAUUAAAUAUAUAUUUUGUAUUUUACCACAGGUACCAAUCACCCUCCAGAUCUAAGAAUGGCUUCAGGCUGGGGCUGCAGUCACCUCUUUGCCCAGCUUGUCCCCUGCCCUAUUCUGCUUAACUUGCAUCCUUAAAUGUUCCACCCAAGAGCUCUUCUUCAAGAAAGCACCCAUAAAGCCAGACACAUUGGCUUAUGCCUAUAAUCCUAGCACUUUGGGAGGCCAAGGUAGGAGGAUGGCUUGAGCCCAGGAGUUCAAGACCAGCCUGGGCAACUUAAUGAGGCCCCGUCUCUACAAAAAAUAAAAAAAUUAACCAGGUGUGGUGGUGUACGUCUCUAGUCUCAGCUACUCAGGAGGCUGUGGCAGGAAGAUGGCUUGAGCCCAGGAGGUCGAGGCUGCAGUGAGCUAAGAUCAUGCCACUGCACCCAUCUUGGGCAACAGAAUGAGAUCCUGUCUCUAAAAAAAUAAAAACAAUUUACAACAGUAAGCACCUGUACACAAGCCCCAUCUCCAGCCCUGUUUCUAGGGCUUCCAAUUGAACACACCUAGAGGCUGGGCACAGUGGCUCAUGCCUGUAAUCCCAAUAUUUUGGGAUGCUGAGGCAAGUGAAUCACUUGAGGUCAGGAGUUUGAGACCAGCCUGGCCAUGGCAAAACCCCAUCUCUACUAAAAUUGCAAACAUUAGCUGGGUGUGGUGGCACAUGCCUGUAAUCCCAGUUACUCGGGAGCCUGAGACAGGAGAAUCACUUGAACCCAGGAGGUGGAGGUUGCAGUGAGCCAAGAUCACACCACUGUACCCCAGCCUGGGCAAUGAAAGAAGACUCUGUCUCAAAAAAAUAAAAAAUAAAAUAAAACACACCUGGAGCUUUCUA